AGCGAACGCUGGCGGCGUGCUUAACACAUGCAAGUCGAACGUGAAAUGUAGCAAUACAGAGUAAAGUGGCGUACGGGUGAGUAACACGUGGGUAAUCUACCAAAGAGCCUGGAAUAACCGACCGAAAGGUUGGCUAAUACUGGAUAGUUCAAAUGAAAUAUAAUGUUUCGAUUGGGAAAGGGAGCGAGCAAUCGCCUUCACUAUUUGAUGAGCCCGCGUCUGAUUAGCUAGUUGGUAGGGUAAUGGCCUACCAAGGCGACGAUCAGUAGCUGGUCUGAGAAGAUGAUCAGCCACACUGGAACUGAAACACUGUCCAGACUCCUACGGGAGGCAGCAGUGGGGAAUCUUGCGCAAUGGACGAAAGUCUGACGCAGCCACGCCGCGUGAGUGAAGAAGGCCUUCGGGUUGUAAAGCUCUGUCGGAAGGGACAAAAACGUUUAAGGUUAAUAGCCUUAGAUCUUGAUGGUACCUUCAAAGGAAGCACCGGCUAACUUCGUGCCAGCCGCCGCAGUAA
This 514-nucleotide ribosomal RNA is filed under the name uncultured bacterium. Its description in RNAcentral is "partial 16S ribosomal RNA". It matches the Rfam family "Bacterial small subunit ribosomal RNA", at positions 29 to 523 of the family's 1533-position model. The record is from RNAcentral.